CCUACGGGGGGCAGCAGUGGGGAAUAUUGCACAAUGGGGGGAACCCUGAUGCAGCGACGCCGCGUGAGUGAAGAAGUAUUUCGGUAUGUAAAGCUCUAUCAGCAGGGAAGAAAAUGACGGUACCUGACUAAGAAGCCCCGGCUAACUACGUGCCAGCAGCCGCGGUAAUACGUAGGGGGCAAGUGUUAUCCGGAUUUACUGGGUGUAAAGGGAGCGCAGACGGCUGUGCAAGUCUGGAGUGAAAGGGGGGGGCCCAACCCCCGGACUGCUCUUGAAACUGGAAAGCUGGAGUGCAGGAGAGGUAAGCGGAAUUCGUGGUGUAGCGGUGAAAUGCGUAGAUAUUAGGAGGAACACCAGUGGCGAAGGCAGCUUACUGGACUGCAACUGACGUUGAGGCUCGAAAGCGUGGGGAGCAAACAGGAUUAGAUACCCGUGUAGUC
Molecule: ribosomal RNA, 440 nt
Filed under: uncultured bacterium
Lineage: Bacteria
Description: partial 16S ribosomal RNA
Rfam family: Bacterial small subunit ribosomal RNA
Source: RNAcentral